This 279-nucleotide ribosomal RNA is filed under the name uncultured bacterium. Its description in RNAcentral is "partial 16S ribosomal RNA". It matches the Rfam family "Bacterial small subunit ribosomal RNA", at positions 506 to 784 of the family's 1533-position model. The record is from RNAcentral.
UGCCAGCCGCCGCGGUAAUACGGAGGGUGCAAGCGUUGUUCGGAAUUAUUGGGCGUAAAGCGCGUGUAGGCGGUUUGGUUAGUCUGAUGUGAAAUCCCCCGGCUCAACCGGGGAACUGCAUCGGAUACUGCCUGACUAGAGUGCAGGAGGGGAGAGUGGAAUUCCUGGUGGAGCGGUGAAAUGCGUAGAUAUCAGGAGGAACGCCGGUGGCGAAAGCGACUCUCUGGUCUGCUACUGACGCUGAGGUGCGAAAGCCAGGGGAGCAAACGGGAUUAGAUA